AGUGAACGCUGGCGGUAGGCCUAACACAUGCAAGUCGAACGGCAGCACAGUAAGAGCUUGCUCUUACGGGUGGCGAGUGGCGGACGGGUGAGGAAUACAUCGGAAUCUACUUUUUCGUGGGGGAUAACGUAGGGAAACUUACGCUAAUACCGCAUACGACCUACGGGUGAAAGCAGGGGAUCUUCGGACCUUGCGCGAUUGAAUGAGCCGAUGUCGGAUUAGCUAGUUGGCGGGGUAAAGGCCCACCAAGGCGACGAUCCGUAGCUGGUCUGAGAGGAUGAUCCGCCCCACUGGAAACGAGAGACGGGCCAGACCCCCACGGGAGGCCGGCGUGGGGAAAAUUUGACAAUGGGCGCCAGACUGAUCCCGCCCUACCCCGUGGGUGAAAAAGGCCUUUCGGUUGUAAAGCCCCUUUUGUUGGAAAGAAAAGCAGCAGGUUAAUACCCCGCUGUUCUGACGGUACCCAAAGAAUAGCACCGGCUAACUUCGUG
Molecule: ribosomal RNA, 491 nt
Filed under: uncultured bacterium
Lineage: Bacteria
Description: partial 16S ribosomal RNA
Rfam family: Bacterial small subunit ribosomal RNA
Source: RNAcentral